This is a long non-coding RNA of Sapajus apella (tufted capuchin), 10072 nucleotides long. RefSeq lists it as uncharacterized. The record is from RefSeq and is a predicted model, not a curated record. The transcript has 2 exons. NCBI's taxonomy places the organism in Eukaryota, Metazoa, Chordata, Mammalia, Primates, Cebidae.
UUUUAGUAGAGACGGGGUUUCACCAUGUUGGCCAGGAUGGUCUCGAUCUCUUGACUUCGUGAUUCACCCGCCUUGGCCUCCCAAAGUGCUGGGAUUACAAGCAUGAGCCACUGACGGCAUUUUAGCACUUGACUCCCACCACAGCCCCAGGGAAUCCAUCUAUUAUGACACCACUCUCUAAGUGAGAGGAAGCAAGACAUAAAAAACUCAAUUGACUUGCCAAAAGUUGUGCAGCUUGUAGGGUCUGUCUGAUACCAAAGACUUUACUCACUACAUAUGUGAAAUACUUUGAGCUUUUCAGAAUAAGAGCUUGGUGUUGCUAAGUGAUUAAACUUAUACAAUUAAUUAUUCCUGCUCUGGAAGACAAGAGUGUUACCGUUAGCAGAAGUUUAUUUUUGCAAUUCCUCUGGCCUUCUGGCAUUCCCACAUGCCUCCACCCCUUUUCCUAACUGUAUUGCUUGCCUGUUGUUUAAAGAAAAAAAAAUGAUUUUCAAACUUGUCCAAAUAGAAAUGAAUUGAAUUAAAAAUAGUGAAAGCCACAGUGAAGGACUGAAACAGUUGAGAAGUCAAUGACGUUUGUGGAGCCCCUGCUAUGCAAGUUCCAUGGGAAUACCAGGACCGAGGCUAUGUUUUUUUUAAUAAGCUGUCAAUUUUUAAGGGUAAUUUUAUUACCUCCCCUAUAUCCCCUCCCAUCUCGUUUAGUUGGAUGAUCGAGAGAGAAAACAACAUUUCUACCUUCUUGCAAUGGAAACAAUAGACUUUGCUUGUGCCACUUUUAUUUCCCCACUGGGGAAUCUGAGAGAUGACCUGACUGAAUUCCACCCAUAAAGGUCAUGCUUUGAAUUCAAGGCAGAGAGGAAAAAAAAACGAAGAAAACAUUUUGCAAUGAUGCCCCACGAGUCCUAAGCAUGCUGGGGCCUCUCCUGGUUGCAUUGUGGUCUGCUGAUAAGGAUAACACUGAUGACAAGCGGAACAUUUCCAGGACAAAGGAAAUUCCCUGUUUUAUUGUUUAAAGGAAGCCACCAUCCACUAAGGAGAGCAAGGUUUGUGGCGUAGGCACAGAUUUUCCUGCAGGAGAGGCAGGGAGAGCUGCCAAGCUGCUUGUGAGUGUGUCUGUCCCUAAUUUCAUCUGGGGAGCAUUUGCGUGGUUAGAAGUCAAUAAGGGGUCAUGGUAGUUUAUGGCAUUCGUAGGGUUAGGAGCCAGACUGUUAGAAAUGGAAGCACAUUGGUUGGGGGAGUAAAAAGCCUGAUUCAUACAAUGCAGCCCAUUUAGGAAUCAUAGCAAAAGCACCAGGAGAUUUAGAGAAGUUGAUCUGGUUUUGAGUUUAAAUUCUGGACCUCCUUCUCUUCCCACCCCCUCCAAGCCAAAAUGUCAGAAAAGGGCCUGGUUUCCCUUUAUGGAGUGCAAAAUAAACAGAUCCUCAGCAGCAGGAGAGGGGCCCAGUUCCCCAGCCCAUAAUGCCAGAGCUGGGGGUGGGGGUGCUGUGGGGAAAAGCAGUUAUUCUUCUGUCUGGUUAGUAUUUGGCAUUGACUUUCAUUUUCUCCAACCUCUGUUUUCUAGAAGCCUGCCUGUACGGGAAGUACAGGAAUAAAGAGGAGCUGAUUGUGGGGGUUUUCUUGCCAGACUUCAAAGGAGGUGGAUUUUUGAUUUUUGAUAGUUUGGAGAAUUAGUUCCAAAAGUAAAAGCUGCUCUGGGGACUUGAACCCAGACACUGGGAUCUUAGCCGUCUGCCCAUCAGAACUGCUACUCUGCUCCUGUUGGAAUAGAUUGCUCUGGACUUCCCGCUCUCCUCUCCCAGCACAGAAGUGCUGGAGCUCUGGGCAUCUCAGGGUCAGCUGCGGUGAGCCUGGCCACAGGGCUCUGCAUUCCUUCUGGGCUUUGCUUGGUUUGAGUGGGUGUGACCACGAGUUUACUCUGGAGAAAACUGAGACAAAGAGUCUAAAUUGGGCAGGAUCUUGAAUCUAAUGACUUGUUUACAGACCCUGUACUUUUUCCAGUGCAGGGAGGAGGAAGAGGGCAGGGCACACUCGUCACUGUGGGCAUGGGCACAUCUCUGUUUUUCAUCCUAAGGAGGUAGGACAGCUUCAGGAAGCAGCAGGGCAUCUGCCUGGCAGCCAGCAGGCAAAGUGGCAUGCUGUGUAAUUUUCCAAGGUGGGGAGGAAGCAGUGGUGGCUUCUGCUUGGUCCUACCGGCAUGGCUUCCAGGGCACAUGCGGCUCUGAGGAGAAUGCCCGACCCUGCCACAUGAAAGGCCUUGCUUCCUGCCACUUCAGCUUCAAGUGAUGGGGAGAUUACCCUCCUCACCCCUGCUCCAAGUGCACCCCAACCCAGAACACCCAGCCAAGAAUGUACACCUGUGAUGGGGAUAAGGAGGCCUCACUGAACAUGUGUAAGGAGAGAGGAGAUUCCCAGGGGGACCUCGCUGAUAAAAAAGCACACACAUGAUGGUUUGGCUGUCAUGUGACAUUUAUUUAAUAAUUGCUACCUGUAAGAAAUUCCUUGAAAACAAAAUAGUAUACUGCAAGAUUUGAGGACUUGCUCUUCCAGAUUCUGGCGGUCCUUCUGGAGCCCAGGGAUGCUGUUUGUAAGGCAUGUAGGGCCUACCCCAAAGGGCAGUGUGGGGCUGCAGGGAAGGCAGGAAGAGCCUGUUUGUGCGCAUGCCAGGUGGUUUAUAAACAUCCCCUUUAGUUCCUUUGCCAACCCACGAGUAUAUAUUGCAAUUACCAGGUUCUGAUGAAGAAACUGAGGCUCAGAGAAGUGAAAUCCUUUACUCAAGGCCACACGGCUGCCAAAUGUGUCAUGCUACAUCCACUUUGCACCUAGCGUGAACAGGUUUGAAAGCAAGACAGUAACCCCUGCAUGCCUGGGUACCUGAAAUUGAAAAGGGGUGGCUCAAGGAUGUGGGCGGCUCCCUCUCCAGGACAGUUGCAGUUGGGUGUGACUGAUUUGAAACUGUGCUUCAAAAGAAUGAGUUUAUUCCCUGAGUAGCAGAGCCCACACCACCAUGCACUGUAGAUCUCUGUGAUCCAGAAGUCCUCCAGAUGUUCCCAUAAGGACCUCUAAGGUGGUGCUCGAUGCUCGGGACAGUGUGUGUAGGGGGAUGGUGUGUGUAGGGGCUUCCUGGCAGAGAAACCACAUUGAUAAUGGCAUCCCCAGAAAAUUCUACACUUGGAAUGGGACCCAAAUUAAAUAUAGCAUCAGCAACACUAACUAAGCCACUACCUGGAAUGUGUAAAAAUACAGCAACUAACACUUACUUUAUGUUUGUCAUUUUCAAACUUUAUCAUGUCUAUGAAUGCAUUCGAAUGCUGAGAGGUAGGUAGGGCAGCUAUUAUGAUUCAAGAAAGACCACAUCUUUGUGGAUUUGUGUUCUCAUUCCAGCUCCUGCUGUCACUAGAUGUGUGUGGUCUGAGUAAAUCCUUCAACUUCUCCUAGCCUCAGUUUCCUCAUCUGCAACAGGAGAAACUUGAUUUCCAAAGCACCUCAAGCUAUGGGAGCGGAUAUAUGGGGAUGAGUCUCCCCAACAUUCAGAGGCUCCCCCAAAGCUGGCAGCCCAAGGCACACCACCGACUGCCACCACCUUUCCCUCCCCUCUGCUGGCCGGAUACUGGCAGAUGGAGAAGCCAGGACUGGGGUGGGAAGGAGUAGGUGGUAAGGUUCUUUUUCACUUGUUUCCUGCACCUGGAGACAAGAGCAAGACCAUUAUUAGGAUGACUUAUUGUUUAGAGUUUUUUUUGUUUUGUUUUGUUUUUAACUUUAUGGAAAAAAAAACCCCUAUUUUUCAAAUUUCCAUUGUUUCUUUCUACUGCCUGUCCCAGCUCACUACUUUUCAAGUGGCCAGUCACUGGGCAACUCUUAGUGAAUAGUAGCAGAGUGCAUUACUUAUCUGUGCCCCAUGCUGGAGGUACAGACUCGGUGAGGCCGGCAGAGCAGCUGAGGUUAGACUCAGUGGAAAAUCCAGAAGUGCAGAUGUGGAUCCAAAUUGGGCUGAAAAAAUCUCAUGAGAUCAGGCUUUCUUGGACUUCCUGCUUUUAGCCUAAGCACUAUGUUCAACAUAAACGAACUUUCGGUAUUUUGAAACUUCCGUUUCUGAUCUCAGAACCUGGAAGUAAAGAGCUGUUGUGAACAUUUCCACAAAUUUUGUCAUGGUUAUUCUGGAGGCAGAGUUGAACCCUGUAAUUACGAAGCUUGGGACUCACUACACCCACAGUGCCCUGCCUGGAUUGCAGAAUGGGAGGGGGGAAGGCAUUCUUCCGAAGAGUCCAGGCUUUGGAGACAGGCAGGGCCCUAUUCGAAGUCUAGCUCUUCCACUUCCGGCCAUGUGACUGGACCCAUCAGGGUCUCCGUUUCCUCAUCAGUUAGAUGAAGAAAAUAAACCAGUGUGUUCUUUUUCUCCCCUUUUCCCUCGUGUGUGUGUGUGUGUGUGUGUGUGUGUGUAAAACCUGUAUUAUUUAUUUACAUAUAGCUUGAAUAAUUUCCCCUGGGAGUCUCAGGCCACCCGCCUCUGGUAGAUGUGGCCUUGAGAAGUUGCUGAAGUCCACUUAAUUAGCUAUCAAACUGCAUUACACAAAGACAGUGAGGGCUCUGCACUCAGCGUAAGCUCUAUAGGACUGGCACGAUCUCUGGCAGACUGGAAGGACAAGGGGGACUUACAGCAAAUUUUGAGAGCUGAAUUACAUUCGUCACAUCUGCUCCUGUUUCAGGGGCCUCCUUUGCUUUCCUGGGAGAAGCAAGGGCGAGAUGCAGGGCAGGUCGGUGCUGUGGGAAAGCAAAGUGCUCUAGUGGCAUGGGGUCACCAGCUGAAAUGGACAAGAGCUGUGUAGGGCAAGGAAAAAGGGAGGAGAUGGAGUGAGGGCCAGGGGAGGCAAGGGACACGGAAAUCCCGCCCAAGGCUGCUGAGAAACAGCUCCCUCGGUAAGCCCGGCCUGCUUGCGCCACCUCUUCUCUAUUUCUUGGCUUACUUUUUUUUUUUAAACUGAUUAAAUGCAUCAUUUAAGUUUUUUAAAAGAAUGACUUCAAAAGUGGCACUUCAUCCUUGUAUAAAAUUUAAAAUGUAUGGAAAAUUACAAAAAAAAAUGUAAAAGCACUCAUAGUCUCACGAUACAGAAAGCAACCUAUUUCAUAUUUUGGUACCCUUCCUUCCAGUCUUUUUAAUCCAAAUAUAUAGACAAAUAUGUAUUGUUUUUAUCUAGCCAGAAUCAUAUUGCUUUGUAACCUCCUUUUGUUCUCUUCAUAUUAAAUUCUGGCCAUUUUCUUUUGUAUCAUGAAAGUGAUAUACACUGUAUCACUACUUCUGAUGGCAGCAGAGCAAAUCACUAAACAUAGAAGUCAAGUCCUGGGCUUGGGAAGAGUUUAUAUCAUCUUAGUUACACCCAGCUUCCAAACGUGGGAUGGCAUUUAGUAACAGAGGCAGCCUUAUCUCUUUCGUAUUUUCAUAAAAUCUUCAGUACAGGCUCUAAAAAGGAGCCCACAUGAAAUGCUGAAAACACGAUGUUAAAAAAGUCACAAAGUCCCCUUGAGUCAUAAAACCAGAAACACUGGGGGGUGGGGAGGCCAGGCUGGGCCUUCGCUCACCUCCUUGUGCCUCUUAAUGCAGCCCAGAUGGAAGCUCGUUCAAGAGCAGAUCGCAGGCAAGCCCAGGGCCCGAUCUGAUAGCACAAAGACACCCACAACUCUGAAUUUCCUGCUACCAGGAGGCCUCUUUUUGCAUAGGCUGUUUGAUUUACACAUACGUGGAAAGCAGCCACUAAUAAUAGAAGGGUUGCCUCUUUUCUUCCGUUGUCAGACUCCGCGGGCCCUGCUCAGCGACUCCUGCGUCUCCAGGCAGCUGUCUGCCACUUUUUCUGCCCCUCGCAGCAACAGGGUCAGCCAGGCUCCUGUAAGAAAGAGGCCAGGCCCUCUCCGCCUUCUCUGUGUGUGGCGGAGGUGGGGAAGGUGCUUUCUGAGGGCUCUUUGUCUGGUGAGCAAGCCGGACCUCUGUGCAACAGAAGCCCCCUCUGGCCACCCCAGCCCUUCCCCCUACCCUGUCAAGUUCUGCACAGUCAGUGUUUUCUCCUUCAGCCCCAGCUAACCUGAACUCGCUCAACUCAACCAGAGAAGCUUCUGGAGAAUCUGCCCUUGCCAACUAGGGGCUGGCAAGCUUGUGAGAGAAUUAAUUCUCUGUGAGCCCCUUAAGACUAUGUGGCACUCACCCCUGCAGGAUGCCUCACAGAGAGCUGGAACGGUCAAACCCAUCAGGAGUGCCUUCUUCUGCUGCCUCGAUUCACAUGGUGCCAUUCUUUCAAUCAUUCAUUCUGCCAGCCUGUGCUUGGUGCCUCCCAUGCUUGGCACGGUUUAGAAUAUAGGGAUGGAGUGGAGGUAAAGACAGACAAGGUCCCUACUGUCAUAGAAGAAACAAAGAAUACAAAGAGAAGAAACUAGAAUUGAAGUCUGUGGUGGGGAUUGCAAGGGGAGAUGCCUGCCCAAGUUAUAAAAGAGCCCUAAUACUUUUUUGCUUUAUGUUUGAAAUUAUGACCCUGUCCUUAGCCUAUCCCCAACCAGCCUCAAGCAUGGUUCAGGCUCACAGUUCAGCCACUGAGCUGCAGAGAGACCAUCUCUUUAUACAAGAUCAAUUAUGGGUGCAAGAGCACGCCUGGCUCAAGCACACGGACCCACAGACCCUUGUGGUCAGGGAGUUCCUACAUGAACUCAAACCUUUGGGGGCUGGGAUGUUUACUCUUGGCACACUGGGAUUUCCUGUUUCUAAGAAAAUGGGCCUAGAUACUCAGCUACAUUAACCAAACAACAUGUUGACACAAAUGAAUCUGAAACUUGCCAGCUCCAGGCUCUCUAGAAAGUUAGGCUUGGGAAUGAAGGCAUUUGUGUGACUUUCCAAACUCUGAAUUCCAAGCCCAAUGACUCAGACAAGGUAUUAAUUAGAGGGAUCUGCUUCCCUCCUCUUCUUGCCUAAGAAGGCCCCACUAGAGUCAGAGGUUCCCUGGUCAUCCUUAAAUAGGGAGAAUGUUUCCCCUGUCUGCAGCUGGUCUUAGGUGGAGGCAGCCCAGGUAGCGUGGUAGGAUGCUCUGAAAGACCCACCCCAUAAAAGCCUCCAUCAUCAGUUUCCAUUUGCCGGAAAUCCUCACCACGAGUUCACUCCUUUGAACAUCCAGGAGGCUCAUGUAAAAAUGCAGAAGUUACCCCGUGACAUGACUUAACUAUAUGACAUUCGACCCAUGACUAUACGACAUUUACUAUAUGAGCUGAGGCUAGCAAGGUCCUGGGAAUAUGGAAAACCAGGAAAAUUUUGACAGGGUAUGGAGGAGAGGAAGGGGAGAAGGCAGAGGAAAAGCUGACAAGGUCAAGGGAUACUUCUUGGAGAAGGGAGAAGGGAAGGAGGAAGAUGUUCAAGGGAGAAGCAGAGCAGCCUGGAGAUGCCAGUUUGGUGAUUAUCAACACCUUGGCUACUUAGCUGGAAGUGGCCCUCACAAUGCCACUCCUGCUGUGCCCACCUCCCGGAGUGCCAGCAAACACUGCAGGAUUUGCCUGCUCAGUCUCCAGGCAAUGCAGUUUCGUCUGCUGGGAAGAAUCUUACCGUUUUUAACCUGUAUUUGAACCAAGAGAUAUGUAUGACUUCCACAGGAAAGUGCAACUGUGGUCCAAAAACGUAUAAACUAUCAAAGGUUUAUUCUAUAACAAAAAUGACAGUCCUUGAGAUGUGGCUGAUUAAUAUCACUAGAUCAGGAGCUACUCAGCUGAGGUAAAGUCCCCUUGGGAAAGCCCACAGCCCAGGGAAUGAGGGACAGAGACCAGUGUGCAGAAAGGCCAUGCAGAAGCACCUCGUGUGGUCCAUUUCCCUGUCAAGCACUGGGAACCGCAGGGUGGGGAAGAAUCCAAACAAUUGGAAAGAAAAAUACCCCUGUCCUAGCUGUUCAGGCUACUGUAACGGAGUCCCAUAACUGGGUGGCUUAUCAACAGCAAAUGCUUAUCUUUCACGGUUCUGGAGGCCAGGAGUCUGAGAUCAGAGUGCCGGCAUAAUCGGGUUCCAGUGAGAGCUGUCGUCUAGGUUGCAGACUGGCGACGCCUCGCCAUGUCUCUGCGUGGUAGAAAAAGGGCAAGCUAGCUCUCUCAGGUCCCUUUUAUUAAGGAUCCUAAUCCCACUCUGAAGGCUCUACCUCCAUGACCAAAUCACCCCCUGCAGAUCCCACCUCCUAUACCAUCACAUUGUCCGUUCAGAUUUAAUGUAUGAAUCUGGGGAGGGACAUAAACACUCAGUCCCUGACAACAUGACAGCUGGAUUCAAAUCCAAAACCACCAUGGCAUGAUUAAAGAGAAGAGAGGAGAAGUGGGGGUUCAGGCAGCGUAGGCAUGAUGGAAACUCCCUGUGGGCUUGGACUCACAUAGGAGGGCUUCAUGGAGGAGGUACAUUGAGAUGCAGGAAGGCUCAUCUCCACGGGUGUCUACAACCCCGUGAUGAGUCAGUCUUUGCAAACAUCAGAAGCCCAAGAAGCACGGGGAGCAGGAACGCUAUGAGUAAUCUUAGGAAAUUUGUGCUCCAGGAUGCAGACAUUCCAGAAAAAGACAUGAAAGAGAUGCAUUCCUGGUGCUGUAUAUGUGCUGAGCCCCAUGAGGCAGUGAUAUAUGGGAAAGAAAGGCGAAGAAGGAGGAGAGGUACAGGAAAACCCUGCUUGAGAUUCCAAAAGUAGAUCAAGGAAACCCAUUUGUUCUUUCAUUAAUUUAAUCAUCAUUUAUUGAGUACCUACUAUUUCUAGGCAGUGUGCAAAGUUGAGAAUGCAAUUAUGCCUAAGACAUGGUCCCUGUCUUUGAUAAAUUCAAGAUCCCCGAAGGGAAAGAGGAUAUGACAACUAAUAUUUUGUUCAAUUCAGUUAAAUAAGCACUUAUAGAGUACCGACCGCAUGCAGAACACUGACUAAGUUGAGUAUGAAUGAUACAAAGAAGAAGCUAUCCCAAACUCUCCUGCCUCACUGCCUGAGCCUCAUGGAACCCUAAAUAAGCCUGGAAAGGAAUGAGUGGGGAGAAAGGGUGAGGAGAAACAAGAGCACAUCGUCUUGAUAUGGGAUUAAAAUGGGUGCGUGCUUCUGGGAGAGGCACAAAGGUUUAUUGUGGUAGAGAUUCCCAAUAUCCCAGAUUGCCUUCUGCGCUCUCAGGUCAUAGCCAGCCUCACUGGGAGGCCCACUCAUUCCUCAUUUCCCUUCCUUGGUAAUAUCACUCUGAUUCUCUCUCCUCCCACCGGCAAAAGUGUUUGAUUAAGCCUGCAGAGAAUGAUGGGGUUCAGUAAGAAUGCCAGCAAGGAGACAGCAUAGAAGCCACCCAGAAUGGGGCUGACAGCUUGGCCUCCUGACAGUCCCCCAUGCUCUAUUCAGGGGGAGGAUGCUAGGCUGAGACUCUAGAUGUUUUCCUGGUUUAGAUAAAAACUAUAAUUAAGCACCACAAGUGCCAGUGGAUGGGUGAGGGUGAGGGGAGAGCCGAAGAUGAGCAGUUUGUUGUGGAUUCAGUUUAUUCCCGGUUCUUCUUGCUUCAAGUCUGCGUUCUGCCAAAGAUAUACGGCUGCAUAGGCAAAGGGACCCUCUAGGUGGGCCUGAAGGUGAUUCCCACAUAAUUCUCAGAAACUCAGUCAGAGUCUUCCUGUAUCUCCUGCUUCCUCCCCUUUCCCCUGCCCCCAACCUACACACGUUGCUGAAUCCACACGCACACACAUUCAAGCAGGGCAUAGGUGGCUGGCCGAUCCACUUCAGAUGAUAAGCAAAAGUCUUGGCCCCUCACUACUCACCUGUCAGCUUCAGGCAGCCAGGGAGCCAGCAUGGGAGGCACACCUCAUGAAAUCCACCCUGACGCCUAAAUGCUCACAAAUGCCCACAAACCCUUAAAUGUAUCUAGGAGCCUUUCACCAACUGAAGCCUGAAAGCAAGGUGAAGCAAGGACGUUAGGAAUGUAAUAAAUGAUUUAUAAAAAGACAUCCCAUCAUCCCUUUCUUUUAUUCUCUCUCUCUCUCUCUGGGUGUGUGUGUAUCUGGCUGAGUUGCCUCAGGGCUGGUGGUUUCAAAACUAGCAGCUGCAAACUUAUGAAGGAAAAAAAA